UAGGGAAUCUUCGGCAAUGGACGAAAGUCUGACCGAGCAACGCCGCGUGAGUGAAGAAGGUUUUCGGAUCGUAAAACUCUGUUGUUAGAGAAGAACAAGGACGUUAGUAACUGAACGUCCCCUGACGGUAUCUAACCAGAAAGCCACGGCUAACUACGUGCCAGCAGCCGCGGUAAUACGUAGGUGGCAAGCGUUGUCCGGAUUUAUUGGGCGUAAAGCGAGCGCAGGCGGUUUCUUAAGUCUGAUGUGAAUGCCCCCGGCUCAACCGGGGAGGGUCAUUGGAAACUGGGAGACUUGAGUGCAGAAGAGGAGAGUGGAAUUCCAUGUGUAGCGGUGAAAUGCGUAGAUAUAUGGAGGAACACCAGUGGCGAAGGCGGCUCUCUGGUCUGUAACUGACGCUGAGGCUCGAAAGCGUGGGGAGCAAACAGG
RNAcentral lists this ribosomal RNA (429 nucleotides) under Gemmatimonadota bacterium. RNAcentral's name for it is "Gemmatimonadetes bacterium partial 16S ribosomal RNA". It matches the Rfam family "Bacterial small subunit ribosomal RNA", at positions 355 to 776 of the family's 1533-position model. The record is from RNAcentral. Lineage: Bacteria; Pseudomonadati; Gemmatimonadota.